UUGGUCCUACGGGAGGCAGCAGUGGGGGAUAUUGCACAAUGGGCGAAAGCCUGAUGCAGCGACGCCGCGUGAGGGAAGACGGUUUUCGGAUUGUAAACCUCUGUCUUUGGGGAAGAAAUCAGACGGUACCCAAAGAGGAAGCUCCGGCUAACUACGUGCCAGCAGCCGCGGUAAUACGUAGGGAGCGAGCGUUGUCCGGAAUUACUGGGUGUAAAGGGAGCGUAGGCGGGCUUGUAAGUUGAAUGUCUAAUCAACC
This 256-nucleotide ribosomal RNA is filed under the name uncultured bacterium. RNAcentral describes it as "partial 16S ribosomal RNA". It matches the Rfam family "Bacterial small subunit ribosomal RNA", at positions 333 to 605 of the family's 1533-position model. The record is from RNAcentral.